RNAcentral lists this small RNA (118 nucleotides) under Pseudorhizobium pelagicum. RNAcentral's name for it is "Alphaproteobacterial ar14". It matches the Rfam family "Alphaproteobacterial ar14". From Rfam's summary of the family: Smr14C2 was renamed NfeR1 (Nodule Formation Efficiency RNA) highly expressed in salt stress and during the symbiotic interaction on legume roots. Lineage: Bacteria; Pseudomonadati; Pseudomonadota; Alphaproteobacteria; Hyphomicrobiales; Rhizobiaceae. The record is from Rfam by way of RNAcentral.
GCUCAGGUCGCUGUCGCACUCCUCCUCCCAGUGCCCGCGGCAUCGAUUGGCGCCGCCCUUCCUCCCAAGCCGCCAAUUACCAUCAAGCCCGGUGCCCCUCCCGCACCGGGCUUUUUUU